GAACUGUCUCUUAUUUAAUUAUAAAAUUUAAUUUUUUUAUUAAAAAGUUAAAAUAUUUUAAAAAGACGAGAAGACCCUAUAGAGUUUAAUAAAUUAUUAAAUUAAGAUUAUAUGUAAAAUAAAUUUGAAAUUAAAUUAUUUAUUUUGUUGGGGUGACAAAAAAAUAUAUAAAACUUUUUUUUUACAUAAAAACAUUUAUAAGUGAUUAUAUGAUCCAGUAAUAUUGAUUAUAAGAAAAAAUUACCUUAGGGAUAACAGCGUAAUUUUUUUUUUUAGUACAAAUAAGAAAAAGAGUUUGCGACCUCGAUGUUGGAUUAAGAUAAAAUUUAAAUGUAGAAG
This 339-nucleotide ribosomal RNA is filed under the name Acrapex vetiveria. Its description in RNAcentral is "partial 16S large subunit ribosomal RNA". Lineage: Eukaryota; Metazoa; Arthropoda; Insecta; Lepidoptera; Noctuidae. The record is from RNAcentral.